GUGAAUCAUCGAAUUUUUGAACGCAAAUUGCACUCCCUGGUAUUCCGGGGAGUAUGCCUGUUUGAGGGUCAGCCUAUAAAAAAUCGACAUCGUUGCUGUUUCGCGGUGGCGUUCGUCGGAAAUUGGGUCAUCUUAAAUCCUUUUGGUUUUUAAGCGACUUAAAAUUUUCUUUACGAUUCCACGAACGUUUCUAAGAUUUACUUACACGUUUAAGGUAUCGAUCUUUAUUAGACGUGGCCGUUGCAUCGGAUCGCGUCCAUAAAUAUUUCGUUAACUGACCUCAUACAGGUAAGAACACCC
Molecule: unclassified non-coding RNA, 300 nt
Filed under: Glomus sp.
Lineage: Eukaryota; Fungi; Glomeromycota; Glomeromycetes; Glomerales; Glomeraceae
Description: partial contains 5.8S ribosomal RNA and internal transcribed spacer 2
Rfam family: 5.8S ribosomal RNA (bases 1-71)
Source: RNAcentral